This 1299-nucleotide ribosomal RNA is filed under the name uncultured fungus. RNAcentral's name for it is "eukaryotic LSU rRNA". The stretch from base 635 to 1299 matches the Rfam family "Eukaryotic large subunit ribosomal RNA", at positions 1 to 649 of the family's 3401-position model. The record is from RNAcentral. Lineage: Eukaryota; Fungi.
AAGUCGUAACAAGGUUUCCGUAGGUGAACCUGCGGAAGGAUCAUUACAGUAUGAUUAGAGGAGUUGAUGCUGGCCUUAUAUUAAGGCAUGUGCUCGCUCUUCGACUUCAAUCCACAUACACCUGUGCACCCAUGGCGAGUUUAGUGCCUCAGUAUAGUUUUCGGACUGUGACUUGGGACUGGCUUGUCAUACCUUAUACACAUUAAUACCAGUUAAAUGCAUGUCUUACCGCUCUACGGAGCAAAACAUUACACAACUUUCAACAACGGAUCUCUUGGCUUUCGCAUCGAUGAAGAACGCCGCGAAAGCGCGAAACGUAAUGUGAAUUGCAGAAUUCAGUGAAUCAUCGAAUCUUUGAACGCAUCUUGCGCUCCUUGGUAUUCCGAGGAGCAUGCCUGUUUGAGUGUCGUGAAUACUCUCAAACUCUUAGUUUUUUUAUAAGGACUUUGAGUUUGGAUUUGGAUGUUGCAGUGACUUUGGUCAUGGCUCAUCUCGAAAUGUAUUAGCUGGUCCACCUCGGUCGUAACNNACGGUGUGAUAAGAAACAUUCAUUUGUGACUGUAGCGCUGCUGUUACUGACUGGAUAAAGACUGCUUCUAAUGGUCUGCUUGCAGACAAACUUCACUAUGUCAUCUGACCUCAAAUCAGGUAGGACUACCCGCUGAACUUAAGCAUAUCAAUAAGCGGAGGAAAAGAAACUAACAAGGAUUCCCCUAGUAACGGCGAGUGAAGNGGGAAGAGCUCAAAUUUAAANUCUGGCGGCCUCAGGUCGUCCGAGUNGUAGUCUAGAGAAGUGUUUUCCGCGCUGGACCGUGUACAAGUCCCUUGGAACAGGGCGUCAUAGAGGGUGAGAAUCCCGUCUUUGACACGGACUACCAGUGCUAUGUGAUGCACUCUCGAAGAGUCGAGUUGUUUGGGAAUGCAGCUCAAAUCGGGUGGUAAAUUCCAUCUAAAGCUAAAUAUUGGCGAAAGACCGAUAGCGAACAAGUACCGUGAGGGAAAGAUGAAAAGCACUUUGGAAAGAGAGUUAAACAGUACGUGAAAUUGUUGAAAGGGAAACGCUUGAAGUCAGUCGCGUCUUGCGGAACUCAGCCGAGCUUGCUUGGUGCAUUUUCUGUUUGACGGGCCAGCAUCAAUUUCGGCCGUUGGAAAAAGGUAAGGGGAAUGUGGCACCUCCGGGUGUGUUAUAGCCCCUUGUCAUAUACAUCGGUUGGGAUUGAGGACUGCAGCACGCCUUUAUUGGCCGGGGUUCGCCCACGUAACGUGCUUAGGAUGCUGGCGUAAUGGCUUUAAGCGACC